GACGAACGCUGGCGGCGUGCCUAAUACAUGCAAGUCGAACGCAGUGGGGACGGGUGAGUAACACGUGGGUAACCUCCCAUCAGAGGGGAUAACACUUGGAAACAGGUGCUAAACCGAUACUGAUGGAUGGACCCCCGGUGCAUGAGCCAGUUGGUGCGGUAACGGCUCACCAAUGCCACGAUGCAUAGCGGACCUGAGAGGGGGAGCGGCCACACUGGAACGGAGACACGGCCCAUACUCCUACGGGAGGCAGCAGUGGGGAAUCUUCGACAAUGGACGAAAGUCUGACAGAGCGACGCCGCGUGAGUGAAGAAGGUUUGCGGAUCGUAAAACUCUGUUGUUAGAGACGCGUUAUCUAACCAGAAAGCCACGGCUAACUACGUGCCAGCAGCCGCAGUAAUAC
Molecule: ribosomal RNA, 403 nt
Filed under: uncultured bacterium
Lineage: Bacteria
Description: partial 16S ribosomal RNA
Rfam family: Bacterial small subunit ribosomal RNA
Source: RNAcentral